Molecule: ribosomal RNA, 498 nt
Filed under: uncultured bacterium
Lineage: Bacteria
Description: partial 16S ribosomal RNA
Rfam family: Bacterial small subunit ribosomal RNA
Source: RNAcentral
ACUCAAAUGAAUAGACGGGGGCCCGCACAAGCGGUGGAGCAUGUGGUUCAAUUCGACGCAACGCGAAGAACCUUACCUGGGCUAGACAACGGCGGACUGCCCUAGAGAUAGGACUUUCCCUUCGGGGACUGCCGGUUCAGGUGCUGCAUGGCUGUCGUCAGCUCGUGCCGUGAGGUGUUGGGUUAAGUCCCGCAACGAGCGCAACCCUCGUCCUUAGUUGCCACCAUUCAGUUGGGCACUCUAGGGAGACUGCCGGCGUUAAGCCGGAGGAAGGUGGGGACGACGUCAAGUCAUCAUGGCCCUUAUGUCCAGGGCUACACACGUGCUACAAUGGACGGCACAAAGGGUCGCAAACCCGCGAGGGGGAGCCAAUCCCAAAAAGCCGUUCUCAGUUCGGAUUGGAGUCUGCAACUCGACUCCAUGAAGUUGGAAUCGCUAGUAAUCGCGGAUCAGAACGCCGCGGUGAAUACGUUCCCGGGCCUUGCACACACCGCCCGU